AGUGAACGCUGGCGGUAGGCCUAACACAUGCAAGUCGAACGGCAGCACAGUAAGAGCUUGCUCUUACGGGUGGCGAGUGGCGGACGGGUGAGGAAUACAUCGGGAUCUACUUUUUCGUGGGGGAUAACGUAGGGAAACUUACGCUAAUACCGCAUACGACCUACGGGUGAAAGCAGGGGAUCUUCGGACCUUGCGCGAUUGAAUGAGCCGAUGUCGGAUUAGCUAGUUGGCGGGGUAAAGGCCCACCAAGGCGACGAUCCGUAGCUGGUCUGAGAGGAUGAUUAGCCACCCUGGGACUGAGACACGGUCCAGACUCCUACGGGAGGCAGCCGUGGGGAAUAUUGGACAAUGGGCGCAAGCCUGAUCCAGCCAUACCGCGUGGGUGAAGAAGGCCUUCGGGUUGUAAAGCCCUUUUGUUGGGAAAGAAAAGCAGCAGGUUAAUACCCCGCUGUUCUGACGGUACCCAAAGAAUAAGCACCGGCUAACUUCGUG
Molecule: ribosomal RNA, 492 nt
Filed under: uncultured bacterium
Lineage: Bacteria
Description: partial 16S ribosomal RNA
Rfam family: Bacterial small subunit ribosomal RNA
Source: RNAcentral